Molecule: transfer RNA, 64 nt
Filed under: Ligyra sp. 2017
Lineage: Eukaryota; Metazoa; Arthropoda; Insecta; Diptera; Bombyliidae
Description: tRNA-Thr
Rfam family: tRNA
About the family: Transfer RNA (tRNA) molecules are approximately 80 nucleotides in length. Their secondary structure includes four short double-helical elements and three loops (D, anti-codon, and T loops). Further hydrogen bonds mediate the characteristic L-shaped molecular structure. tRNAs have two regions of fundamental functional importance: the anti-codon, which is responsible for specific mRNA codon recognition, and the 3' end, to which the tRNAs corresponding amino acid is attached (by aminoacyl-tRNA synthetases). tRNAs cope with the degeneracy of the genetic code in two manners: having more than one tRNA (with a specific anti-codon) for a particular amino acid; and 'wobble' base-pairing, i.e. permitting non-standard base-pairing at the 3rd anti-codon position.
Source: RNAcentral
GCUUUAAUAGUUUAUAAAAACAUUGGUCUUGUAAACCAAAAAUAAGAAAUAAUCUUUUAAAGUU